This 793-nucleotide long non-coding RNA is filed under the name Phoenix dactylifera (date palm). RNAcentral describes it as "long non-coding RNA (PDAC_LNC018112)". Lineage: Eukaryota; Viridiplantae; Streptophyta; Magnoliopsida; Arecales; Arecaceae. The record is from RNAcentral.
UGCUACAGUCCUCUGUGGCUAUUUAAGCCAAUCCCCACGGAAACUAGCCGUUACUCUGCUUUUUCUGGCCGUUCUGCACACUCUGCGCAGCCUGACAAUAUGACCGUUGGUGGGUUAGAGUCGACUCGCGCGAUCAGGAGUCGACUCGGCUGUAGCAGGAGUCGACUCACGCUUUUCCGGAGUCGACUCGGCAACUGUUCCAAAUUUGAAUUAAAGUUGCCGUCUAGACUGGGAGUCGACUCGUCUUGACCUGGAGUCGACUCGCCAACUUCUGGAGCUGACCUGGCAAUUUUGGAGUCGGCUCAUCCACUGAAGUCCGUGGAUCCAAUUUUGAAUUUUGUUCACUCGAGUCGACUCGACUGUCCUGGGAGUCGACUCGAAUCUCAGAGCCCGAACUCCCGAUUCUCUGUCUUUUGGCUCAUCCAGUCUUGGAGUCGACUCGAACUUCCUUGGGAAUUUCACAUAGAGCCCUAACCUUAGCCAUACAUAAAGCACCAACAAGAUCAGUUGGAGUCGACUCGGCUCUCAGUUUCCGAAAGUUGGUCUUCUGUCUGUUGAUGGUCGCUCAGUCUCGGAGUCGACUUGCGUACUGCGGGAGUCGACUCGAAUCUCAGAGUCCGAAAAUCGUUCUCUGACUUUUUCCUUGUGUUCCUCUGAGAGUCGACUCUUACCUUCUUUGGAGUCGACCUGCCAACCAUUGGAGUCGACUCGCGUUCCACUGGAGUCGACUCGAAUCUCAGACCCGAAAACUGCUCUCUGACUUUUCUUUGUGUUUCUCUUGGAGUCGACUCUU